This 1448-nucleotide unclassified non-coding RNA is filed under the name Hevea brasiliensis (rubber tree). The record is from RNAcentral. Lineage: Eukaryota; Viridiplantae; Streptophyta; Magnoliopsida; Malpighiales; Euphorbiaceae.
CAGAAACACAAAUGAGAUUCUUAUUACUUACCAAAUGAAAUGAUACAAGCUUGAAGCAGACACCGAAUACAAAGAAACUACACGAUAAAGAGGUACAACUAAAGAAAUAAUCUGUAAUUGCUAUUCAAAAUAGAUACUUACGAACAAGCUUACCUAAAACAACAGUAUGGUAUAGAUUUACGCAAAAACUGCAAGAGUAAAGCUUCAAACGCCAGUCAGAAAUUAGCUGGACGAAGUGCAUGAAUUGAUCCCAUCCUUGCAGUCUCUGGUGAGAUCAUUAAAUGUCUCAACCUGCUUUUUACCCCUAAAGAAAACUUCUGUAUCAACUGAAGCCCUCAUGUACCCAUCAAAUUCAACUGGAUUCCCAUUAUUAAGUUUUGUUGUCUCUGCAUACCACUCACUUUUUUCAUCCCAAAGAUCCAUAUAUUCAUGAAGGAAAUGGGUGGAGUACUUGUCUUUUAAAGGGUCAAAAAAGGAUGUAUCUGGCUCAUUGGUUGCUAUAUACAGGUUCCUACCGUCGUCGAUCUUGUCCUGCAAGCUAGAUAGUAGAGCCUCGGGAGAAGUAUCUUCUGCCAAAUGUGGCCACAUUUCACGAUUCCUUGCCUUCUCACCCCUUACAACAUGAACUGAGUCAUAAUCCCAAUUUAACCUCGACGAAAUAGCUGAGACGAUGUCCAUCAAUCGUCUUGAUUUCCAUACCAGAUGCCAUGGUCGUUGAACGACUGAUUCCGUUUCACCCUCACAUACCCUGUACCAGUAAUUAUCUGGCUCCACAGAACCAAAUUUCCUCAUGAUUAAAGUAUCCUGCACUCCGGAUAACUUCAUCGGUGUAAUCCUAAAAUCCUCCACAAGAUGAAGACUUAAUCUGUCUUUUUUAUGCCACUGGUCCCAAUCUGACCAAAACUGGAUCUGAUCGAGGACUGACGCUGAAUCCUUUAAGUGCUCAAAAUCGAAGUAAAACCUGAAAUCCUUUCCUUCCUCAUCUACACCAGAUGAAGUGUAAAUCUUGGAUAAACAAAUACUUAAGUCCAUUAUCAAGGUCCUGUUCAGAUAUUGAGCCUCGCCCAAUGCACACAUGAAACUCCAAAGGUAAUGGCUCAUGCUCUUGCACCUAUCCCCACCUCCAGAAUAAAUCAAAUACUUACCAUUGCCAAAUGAACUCUCCGAUUCCACCACAGGAAGUGAGUCAUUUACAGCUUCCCCAACCACAGGCAGAGCAAUAGGUUCACCCUCUGUCUUAGGAGUUACCUUCUCGAAUCCCUCAUCUAGCUUACCAAGAGUUCUGUCAGACCCUGCCCUGUUCUUUCUCUUCCUCUUGCGGGCAUUUCCACCAGAAUGAUAAUCACCUAUACUGACCACAUCAAGGGUGCAGUUCUCCGACCUAGAAACCACAAAAGACCGAUAAUCUUUAUAAAAGGCAGCAGUCUUCCCUUCCUUAGGCCUAAAUC